GUGUCGGAUACUGGGCGUAAGAGCUCGUAGGUGGUUUGUCGCGUUGUUCGUGAAAUCUCACGGCUUAACUGUGAGCGUGCGGGCGAUACGGGCAGACUUGAGUACUGCAGGGGAGACUGGAAUUCCUGGUGUAGCGGUGGAAUGCGCAGAUAUCAGGAGGAACACCGGUGGCGAAGGCGGGUCUCUGGGCAGUAACUGACGCUGAGGAGCGAAAGCGUGGGGAGCGAACAGGAUUAGAUACCCUGGUAGUCCACGCCGUAAACGGUGGGUACUAGGUGUGGGUUUCCUUCCUUGGGAUCCGUGCCGUAGCUAACGCAUUAAGUACCCCGCCUGGGGAGUACGGCCGCAAGGCUAAAACUCAAAGAAAUUGACGGGGGCCCGCACAAGCGGCGGAGCAUGUGGAUUAAUUCGAUGCAACGCGAAGAACCUUACCUGGGUUUGACAUGCACAGGACGCCGGCAGAGAUGUCGGUUCCCUUGUGGCCUGUGUGCAGGUGGUGCAUGGCUGUCGUCAGCUCGUGUCGUGAGAUGUUGGGUUAAGUCCCGCAACGAGCGCAACCCUUGUCUCAUGUUGCCAGCGGGUAAUGCCGGGGACUCGUGAGAGACUGCCGGGGUCAACUCGGAGGAAGGUGGGGAUGACGUCAAGUCAUCAUGCCCCUUAUGUCCAGGGCUUCACACAUGCUACAAUGGCCGGUACAAAGGGCUGCGAUGCCGCGAGGUUAAGCGAAUCCUUUUAAAGCCGGUCUCAGUUCGGAUCGGGGUCUGCAACUCGACCCCGUGAAGUCGGAGUCGCUAGUAAUCGCAGAUCAGCAACGCUGCGGUGAAUACGUUCCCGGGCCUUGUACACACCGCCCGCCACGUCAUGAAAGUCGGUAACACCCGAAGCCAGUGGCCUAACCCUUUGGGAGGGAGCUGUCGAAAGUGGGAUCGGCGAUUGGACGAAGUCGUAACAA
Molecule: ribosomal RNA, 952 nt
Filed under: uncultured bacterium
Lineage: Bacteria
Description: bacterial SSU rRNA
Rfam family: Bacterial small subunit ribosomal RNA
Source: RNAcentral